GACGAACGCUGGCGGCGUGCUUAACACAUGCAAGUCGAACGGAAAGACCCUGCUUUUGUGGGGUGCUCGAGUGGCGAACGGGUGAGUAACACGUGAGUAACCUGCCCUUGACUUUGGGAUAACUUCAGGAAACUGGGGCUAAUACCGGAUAGGAGCUCCUGCUGCAUGGUGGGGGUUGGAAAGUUUCGGCGGUUGGGGAUGGACUCGCGGCUUAUCAGCUUGUUGGUGGGGUAGUGGCUUACCAAUGCUUUGACGGGUAGCCGGCCUGAGAGGGUGACCGGCCACAUUGGGACUGAGAUACGGCCCAGACUCCUACGGGAGGCAGCAGUGGGGAAUAUUGCACAAUGGGCGGAAGCCUGAUGCAGCAACGCCGCGUGCGGGAUGACGGCCUUCGGGUUGUAAACCGCUUUCGCCUGUGACGAAGCGUGAGUGACGGUAAUGGGUAAAGAAGCACCGGCUAACUACGUG
This 468-nucleotide ribosomal RNA is filed under the name uncultured bacterium. RNAcentral's name for it is "partial 16S ribosomal RNA". It matches the Rfam family "Bacterial small subunit ribosomal RNA", at positions 28 to 507 of the family's 1533-position model. The record is from RNAcentral.